CCGCCAGACUCCUACGGGAGGCAGCAGUGGGGAAUAUUGCACAAUGGGGGAAACCCUGAUGCAGCAACGCCGCGUGAAGGAAGACGGUUUUCGGAUUGUAAACUUCUAUCAAUAGGGAAGAAAGAAAUGACGGUACCUAAAUAAGAAGCCCCGGCUAACUACGUGCCAGCAGCCGCGGUAAUACGUAGGGGGCAAGCGUUAUCCGGAAUUAUUGGGCGUAAAGAGUACGUAGGUGGCAACCUAAGCGCAGGGUUUAAGGCAAUGGCUCAACCAUUGUUCGCCCUGCGAACUGGGAUGCUUGAGUGCAGGAGAGGAAAGCGGAAUUCCUAGUGUAGCGGUGAAAUGCGUAGAUAUUAGGAGGAACACCAGUGGCGAAGGCGGCUUUCUGGACUGUAACUGACACUGAGGUACGAAAGCGUGGGGAGCAAACAGGAUUAGAUACCCUUGUA
RNAcentral lists this ribosomal RNA (449 nucleotides) under uncultured bacterium. RNAcentral describes it as "bacterial SSU rRNA". It matches the Rfam family "Bacterial small subunit ribosomal RNA", at positions 328 to 792 of the family's 1533-position model. The record is from RNAcentral.